Molecule: long non-coding RNA, 1116 nt
Filed under: Panax ginseng (ginseng)
Lineage: Eukaryota; Viridiplantae; Streptophyta; Magnoliopsida; Apiales; Araliaceae
Description: long non-coding RNA (PGIN_LNC003278)
Source: RNAcentral
GGAGCUUGGAUUUAUCUCUAUAUCAGAAAGAAUCUGAUUUAAAACUUCAUUUACUACUUCCUCUUCAGAAGAAGAGGCCUGUGACGAUAAUGGCACUAACUGAUAAUUGCCAAUGGGAUUACUCAGAAUCGCUAAGAACAGCCAUAUCCAGGUUAUAAGCUCAGAAAAACACAAAUGAUGUAUAAGAUUAUAGAACUAGCAUUAAUGCCUCAAAAGAAAUCCGGCCUGGACAGCAUUUGGUGGAAAUUCAAUUGAAAAACAUAAAACCUAGUUUAUGGCAGGAGGGUCAUUGAAAAUAUUUUGUAAAAUUUUAUAAACAUACAAAAUAGCUGCUUCAUUCAAACUACAUAACAUAAUUCAACUGAAGAAAGUAUUUACAAUUAAACUGAACACAUACCACUCAGAGUCCAAAUAUAAGGCUUCAUAAUUUGGUUGGCUUAACUCGUCUGAGCUCAACAGAUAGCACCGCACGUAUUUACUAGAUAUUAACCUAAGUUAACCUUCACUUACAAUCUCAAACUCUUAUAAAAUGAAUUAAAAACAUAUUUCACAAAAUUAAUAAUCUUGCAAUGUCACUCUGACUCACACAAAUUCUUGUAGACCAAAAUGGCCCCAAUAUGAAUUACUGGAUGCAAAAAAGCAGGGAAAUAUGAAAAACUUACAAUUUGAUGACGAUUUCUGCACCUUUGGAGCGGAUAAAGCAUAUGCCCAUGAAGAAGUUUAUUGAAAUUCAAUAUUCUCCUGACAUAUAUUGGUCUUCUGAUUCCACUCCGAUUCCAAGAAGUUGAAGUUGUUAAGAUUGCCGAAACGCUCACCUUUAAUUCCCGUUGUGGAAUUUGUUUCAUACGCUUUGAAGCGGAGAGCAUUUUCGCGGGGUUGCUAGAAAUUGUAUUCGGUUCUUCUUGGGUAUAGGGUUUAAGGAACCCAAAUGAAGCUGGAACUAGGGUUCCGAUUUCGGGGUAGCGGUGUUUUUCCCCUGGUGUGAUGGGCCUUUCGGUGGUCACUUCAUACUCGCUUUUUCUGUAAACCUGCUUGAUUCUUCUUGCUCCAGGGGAGAGGGGCUUGUAUAAGGUUGUGUUUGGCUGAACUUCCAAACUACCAAUUCCGCUGUUUGGU